RNAcentral lists this ribosomal RNA (446 nucleotides) under uncultured bacterium. Its description in RNAcentral is "partial 16S ribosomal RNA". It matches the Rfam family "Bacterial small subunit ribosomal RNA", at positions 338 to 795 of the family's 1533-position model. The record is from RNAcentral.
CCUACGGGAGGCAGCAGUCGAGAAUCAUUCACAAUGGGGGAAACCCUGAUGGUGCGACGCCGCGUGGGGGAAUGAAGGUCUUCGGAUUGUAAACUCCUGUCAUGUGGGAGCAAAUUAAAAAGAUAGUACCACAAGAGGAAGAGACGGCUAACUCUGUGCCAGCAGCCGCGGUAAUACAGAGGUCUCAAGCGUUGUUCGGAAUCACUGGGCGUAAAGCGUGCGUAGGCUGUUUCGGAAGUCGGGUGUGAAAGGCGCGGGCUCAACCCGCGGACGGCACAUGAUACUGCGGGACUAGAGGAAUGGAGGGGGAACCGGAAUUCGCGGUGUAGCAGUGAAAUGCGUAGAUAUCGAGAGGAACACUCGUGGCGAAGGCGGGUUCCUGGACAUUAACUGACGCUGAGGCACGAAGGCCAGGGGAGCGAAAGGGAUUAGAUACCCGGGUAGUC